This 1434-nucleotide ribosomal RNA is filed under the name uncultured organism. RNAcentral describes it as "16S ribosomal RNA". It matches the Rfam family "Bacterial small subunit ribosomal RNA". The record is from RNAcentral.
GGUGGCGUGCUUAACACAUGCAAGUCGAACGGAAAGGCCCUGCUUUUGUGGGGUGCUCGAGUGGCGAACGGGUGAGUAACACGUGAGUAACCUGCCCUUGACUUUGGGAUAACUUCAGGAAACUGGGGCUAAUACCGGAUAGGAGCUCCUGCUGCAUGGUGGGGGUUGGAAAGUUUCGGCGGUUGGGGAUGGACUCGCGGCUUAUCAGCUUGUUGGUGGGGUAGUGGCUUACCAAGGCUUUGACGGGUAGCCGGCCUGAGAGGGUGACCGGCCACAUUGGGACUGAGAUACGGCCCAGACUCCUACGGGAGGCAGCAGUGGGGAAUAUUGCACAAUGGGCGGAAGCCUGAUGCAGCAACGCCGCGUGCGGGAUGACGGCCUUCGGGUUGUAAACCGCUUUCGCCUGUGACGAAGCGUGAGUGACGGUAAUGGGUAAAGAAGCACCGGCUAACUACGUGCCAGCAGCCGCGGUGAUACGUAGGGUGCGAGCGUUGUCCGGAUUUAUUGGGCGUAAAGGGCUCGUAGGUGGUUGAUCGCGUCGGAAGUGUAAUCUUGGGGCUUAACCCUGAGCGUGCUUUCGAUACGGGUUGACUUGAGGAAGGUAGGGGAGAAUGGAAUUCCUGGUGGAGCGGUGGAAUGCGCAGAUAUCAGGAGGAACACCAGUGGCGAAGGCGGUUCUCUGGGCCUUUCCUGACGCUGAGGAGCGAAAGCGUGGGGAGCGAACAGGCUUAGAUACCCUGGUAGUCCACGCUGUAAACGGUGGGUACUAGGUGUGGGGUCCAUUCCACGGGUUCCGUGCCGUAGCUAACGCUUUAAGUACCCCGCCUGGGGAGUACGGCCGCAAGGCUAAAACUCAAAGGAAUUGACGGGGCCCCGCACAAGCGGCGGAGCAUGCGGAUUAAUUCGAUGCAACGCGUAGAACCUUACCUGGGUUUGACAUGGAUCGGGAGUGCUCAGAGAUGGGUGUGCCUCUUUUGGGGUCGGUUCACAGGUGGUGCAUGGCUGUCGUCAGCUCGUGUCGUGAGAUGUUGGGUUAAGUCCCGCAACGAGCGCAACCCUUGUUCACUGUUGCCAGCACGUUAUGGUGGGGACUCAGUGGAGACCGCCGGGGUCAACUCGGAGGAAGGUGGGGAUGACGUCAAGUCAUCAUGCCCCUUAUGUCCAGGGCUUCACGCAUGCUACAAUGGCUGGUACAGAGAGUGGCGAGCCUGUGAGGGUGAGCGAAUCUCGGAAAGCCGGUCUCAGUUCGGAUUGGGGUCUGCAACUCGACCUCAUGAAGUCGGAGUCGCUAGUAAUCGCAGAUCAGCAACGCUGCGGUGAAUACGUUCCCGGGGCUUGUACACACCGCCCGUCAAGUCAUGAAAGUUGGUAACACCCGAAGCCGGUGGCCUAACCGUUGUGGGGGAGCCGUCGAAGGUGGGACUGGUGAUUAGG